Paramuricea clavata is the source of this 538-nucleotide non-coding RNA. Lineage: Eukaryota; Metazoa; Cnidaria; Anthozoa; Malacalcyonacea; Plexauridae. The record is from the annotation of a GenBank genome assembly.
UCUGCUUGAAUCCUUCAUGCAGGCAAUAUUUAACAACGAAGAAAAAAUUCAGUCCAUAGACACAAAAGAUGUCUAAUAUUUCAGUAUGGAUCAAAGCAAACAACUGACCAUAUUUUAAUAAACAAUUAGCUAAUCAGUUAAGUCGGCUCAGGUGAGUCAGCUACUCUGAAGCUGUUUUGGACGAAAUUACAACAAAUCAAACCAUUUGCUGAGCCACCACAGUUACUGCUAUGAUUUCUAAUGUACUCACUAUUAAAAAUGAACAGUUUAUACACAUCCUUACAGUUUAUAUUAACAAAACUACUCAAUUUUUGGUAUACGUAACUAGUCUUGACUUUCGCUAGUUAUUUUUUCUCAAAAUUCACGAGUUAGAUGUUAUACACGCACCCUUUAAGUAAUUGCAUCACAAAUCCUAUAAGGUGAGUGUCCUCAGCUUGAGAUGAAAAAUGUCCACCUGAUGUACCGGAAGUAAAACUACCAAACGCUUUUGGAUCUUCAGUCGAUUCAAUCUUUUUCAAUUUGACGUCUCCAGUACCAG